CCUACGGGAGGCAGCAGUGGGGAAUAUUGCACAAUGGGGGAAACCCUGAUGCAGCGACGCCGCGUGAGUGAAGAAGUAUCUCGGUACGUAAAGCUCUAUCAGCAGGGAAGAAAAUGACGGUCCCUGACUAAGAAGCCCCGGCUAACUACGUGCCAGAAGCCGCGGUAAUACGUAGGGGGCAAGCGUUAUCCGGAUUUACUGGGUGUAAAGGGAGCGUAGACGGCAGCACAAGUCUGGAGUUAAGUCCCUGGGCUUAACCCCGGAACUGCUUUGGAAACUGUGCGGCUGGAGUGCAGGAGGGGUAAGCGGAAUUCCGAUUGUAGCGGUGAAAUGCGUAGAUAUUAGGAGGAACACCGGUGGCGAAGGCGGCUUACUGGACUGUAACUGACGUUGAGGCUCGAAAGCGUGGGGAGCAAACAGGAUUAGAUACCCGAGUAGUC
This 440-nucleotide ribosomal RNA is filed under the name uncultured bacterium. Its description in RNAcentral is "partial 16S ribosomal RNA". It matches the Rfam family "Bacterial small subunit ribosomal RNA", at positions 338 to 795 of the family's 1533-position model. The record is from RNAcentral.